CCCCCAAAGUGAUGAUAUUGGGAAGUGAGGCCUUUGAGAUAUGAUUUGGUCAAGAGGGUAGAGUCCUCAUGAAUGGGAUUCAUGCCCUUAUAGAGGAGACCCCAGACAGCUCCCUUAUGCCUUCUACCAUGUGAAGACACGGUGGGAAGAUGGUCAGCUAUGAACCAGGAAGUGGGUUCUCAUGAGACACAGAAUCUGCUUGCACUUUGAUCUUGGACUUCCCAGGCUCUAGAACUAAGGCAUACAAAUGGCCAACAAGUACAUGAAAAGGUGCUCAACAUCACUAAUCAUCUGGGAAAAGGAAGUGAAAACCACAAUGAGAUAUCACCUUGCACCUGUUAGAAUGGCUGUCAUCACAAAGAGAAGAGCUGGGAAGUGUUGUUGAGAAUGUGGAGAAAAGGGAACCCUUGUGCACAGUUGGUGGCAAUGUGAAUUGGUACAGCUAUUAUGGAAAACAGCAUGGAGGUUCCUCAAAAACUAAAAAUAGAACUACCAUAUAAUCCAGCAAUCUCCUGUCUGGAUACUCAACAGAACUGAAAUCAGCACCUUAGAGAGGUAUCUGUGCUCUCAUGUUCAUUGCAGCAUUAUUUGCAGUAGCCAACAUAUGGAAACAACCUAAACAUAUGUUGAUGGAUGAAUGGACAAAGAAACUGUGGGCUCUUCUCUCCCUUUAUGAACAGAAGACUUUACCAUCUCCAUGUUGUCACAAGUGCUGGGUAUAGAAAUGCUGGGAGAGUCCCCUCAUACUACUCUUCAUGGCCAGAAAAGAUCUACUGUUUCCCUCAAGGUUUUGAGAUGGGACUAGUAGUACUUUGAGUUAUCACAAGAAAUCUCUGAUAAUCUUGAAAGACUUCUCAGGUGAGACUGUAAAAUACCUGGGCACAUUUGGCCAAGAUUUUGGUAUAACUUCUCAACAAAAAAGUUGAUCCCCAUCAUGGAUUAUGCUGAGCAGACUACCAUGUUUUACCCUUACAUGUAGUCUUUGGCUGUAAAAGUCUGUUUCAGAGCACAUGGCAUAGUCUGUACCCUCUUUGUUAAAGCUAUUUUCAGCACUAACUAUUGCUUAGUAUAAGCAAGGUUAAUAGGGAACUGUUUUUUUAGGAAUGACAGUGUGAUUGCCUCAUACAAGGCGAUGUGUAAGUAGUCAUGUUGAAGUCUUGUGUAUGGUUUCAUCACCUUAAGCAGUUUCUUGUAAGGCAUUUCAAUAUAGCAUUCCUUCCCAUUAAUCCUUCAGGCUUGAUCAACAUGGAAAACAAAAUGACCUAUGGAAGUGACACCUUAUAAGCCAGUGUAUUCAAUAGCAGAUGAUUCAAUCCAUUCAUAUUCAUAAUACUGUAGACAGGCAUAUAGAUCUAAGUACCAAGCUGCAUAUGUAACCCACACAUGUAAGAAGGCAUGAAAGAGUAAAGUAGUUA
Long non-coding RNA from Acinonyx jubatus (cheetah), 1415 nucleotides. RefSeq lists it as uncharacterized. NCBI's taxonomy places the organism in Eukaryota, Metazoa, Chordata, Mammalia, Carnivora, Felidae. The transcript is spliced from 3 exons. The record is from RefSeq and is a predicted model, not a curated record.